GUGGGAGUGAGGGCGGGUUGUUCUGUGUCACCCCCUCCUGCCCUCUUUUCUAGAGCAGUGAUCAAGGGGGUACAUACAUUGCUGGCUGCAGCAAAGAGCCUCCCCCCCUCGCUUCCUGCUAGGCCCCAGAGGUGGCCAUGGGGUAAAUGGUCCCCAGCAGUGUGAGCACCAGGGUUGCAGAUCAGGACCCACUUACCCUGCUCGUGCUGUGACCAGAGGCCUGAAGACCACCCUGGGUUCAGUGUGUGUAACUUCAAAGCAGCGACUUUGCCUUUUAUUGGAAGCCCCACGCAAAUCACAAGCCUCCAAGGCAUUUAUUAAGUGCCCGUGUCUCCUUCGUCUAUGUUGACACCUGACCAAAGAGUUACAUUUAAAAAUUUCACUGACUGACUUAUACCCUGCCCCAUUUCCAAAGCAGAUGACAAUACAACCCCAGGUACAAGUAAGGCCAGGAACAUUUACCCAAGACAAAGGAGGGAAACAAAGGCAGAGAAUUAUGCCCAGCCUCAGCCUUUCAGGAAGGUAAAAAUCUAAGGCUUCAUUCUCUGGAUGUCUUUAAACUUCGCCAAGAUGUAAGGGCUACUUUUAUUUCGUUCUGCAAAACUCCUCCACCCCCAUCAGAAAGGCAGUACCCCCUUGUGGCCAAGCUUUAGUCCCAUUUAGAGGAAUGUUGCAGGGUGGCUGGCCACUGCAGGGGGCCAGGCAGGCAGGGUGUCUGUCACCGGCCAGCGGUCCCUGCCCUUCUGGCCACCGCUGCCAAAAGCUUGGGUAGGUUUGUGUUUCCCAGCUGAGCCUCCACGCUGCCGAUGGCCUUCCAAGUUGUGCCCUGGCCUGGUUUGUGGUGCAUCCUCAUUUCACUAAUGGAAAUGAAGGUAACAGCAGUCUCCUCCCGCCUCCGUCCAGUUGUGGCCUUUCCUAAGAGGACAAACCUGCUGAAGGACACAGAGACCAUGUCACCCACAAGAGGUCCACACCAGAAGAGGAGAGAGCCCCAUUCUGCUAACUCCUUCCGAAAGCCUGGGACCCUGUGCACAGUAGCCUUUGGAAGACAGGCGAGCUGGCUCUACCUGUCUUGCAGAUUCAGAAUCUAGGUCAUUCUGCUCCUCCUCUGGAAGACAAGCCAGAUUUCUCCUAGGGUCUCAGAAGGAGAGAGGGGACGGCAGGAGAAAAUGUUUUAGCGGGACCCACACCCUGCCUGCUGCUGUCAGGAACAUUUCAUUUUGAAGCCAAUAUAAUUUAUGAGAUGCAAAUGGAUUUAGCAUUAAAAAAGAAAAAAGAGAAAGAAAGACUUGGAAAAGGUACAAAGUGCACCUCACACCCUUGUGCUGAGGCUUGUUUGGGGCUCCAUUAAUCAUCUCAGACAAAAGAGAUUUCAUCUGCGGCUAGGCAAUCUGGGAGCCCCCCUGGGGGCCAGCUGAGAGCAGCGGGCACUGACUGCAGGCCUGGCCUCUGAGCGGCUCCGGCCUCCGCUGCCCAGCACUUGUGCUGAGCUCUGGUCUGAGUCACGCACUAGAUGAAAUUACAGAGGUUUCUGCACAUGAUGAAUCAGAAAGCAGGAUCAAGCCAAAUAUUUGGACAAGCCUUGCCCCGCGUGGAGCAGGAGGGAGAUGGAGCCGCCAGCCAGAAGCCUGCCAGCAGCCUUCCCAGAGAUGGCUUCUGACAAAGUGCCGCCGUGGGGCAGGCUACUGCCUAGAAGGGUGUUAGCUCCAUCCAUUAGGGCAGCCUGCAGCUGGAUCUCUCGGCCAGGUCAGCUCUACAAAAGGGGCCUCUGAGCAUCCCAGGGCCCUGAGCCCUGAUUCAGCCUCACCCUUGGAGAAGGGGGGCUUGUGCGAGUGCGGCGUGCAGGGUGGGGGAGGAGAUGGUUUGCUUUGAGUCACCCCAUCCGCCUUCUUUUUUAGGAGUCAUCG
Molecule: long non-coding RNA, 1907 nt
Filed under: Sus scrofa (pig)
Lineage: Eukaryota; Metazoa; Chordata; Mammalia; Artiodactyla; Suidae
Description: lncRNA (ENSSSCG00055009640.1)
Source: RNAcentral